AGUGAACGCUGGCGGUAGGCCUAACACAUGCAAGUCGAACGGCAGCACAGUAAGAGCUUGCUCUUACGGGUGGCGAGUGGCGGACGGGUGAGGAAUACAUCGGAAUCUACUUUUUCGUGGGGGAUAACGUAGGGAAACUUACGCUAAUACCGCAUACGACCUACGGGUGAAAGCAGGGGAUCUUCGGACCUUGCGCGAUUGAAUGAGCCGAUGUCGGAUUAGCUAGUUGGCGGGUUAAAGGCCCACCAAGGCGACGAUCCGUAGCUGGUCUGAGAGGAUGAUCAGCCACACUGGAACUGAGACACGGUCCAGACUCCUACGGGAGGCAGCAGUGGGGAAUAUUGGACAAUGGGCGCAAGCCUGAUCCAGCCAUACCGCGUGGGUGAAGAAGGCCUUCGGGUUGUAAAGCCCUUUUGUUGGGAAAGAAAAGCAGCAGGUUAAUACCCCGCUGUUCUGACGGUACCCAAAGAAUAAGCACCGGCUAACUUCGUG
RNAcentral lists this ribosomal RNA (492 nucleotides) under uncultured bacterium. Its description in RNAcentral is "partial 16S ribosomal RNA". It matches the Rfam family "Bacterial small subunit ribosomal RNA", at positions 29 to 507 of the family's 1533-position model. The record is from RNAcentral.